UACGGAGGAUGCAGGCGUUAUCCGGAAUCAUUGGGCGUAAAGCGUCCGUAGGUGGCUGUUCAAGUCUGCGGUCAAAGCACAAGGCUUAACCUUGUAAAGGCCGUGGAAACUGAAGAGGCUAGAGUGCGGUAGGGGUAGAGGGAAUUCCCAGUGUAGCGGUGAAAUGCGUAGAGAUCCGGAAGAACACCGGUGGCGAAGGCGGCCUGCUGGGCUAUGGCUGACACUGAGGCGCGACAGCGUGGGGAGCAAACAGG
Molecule: ribosomal RNA, 254 nt
Filed under: uncultured bacterium
Lineage: Bacteria
Description: partial 16S ribosomal RNA
Rfam family: Bacterial small subunit ribosomal RNA
Source: RNAcentral